Molecule: non-coding RNA, 232 nt
Organism: Pelobates cultripes (western spadefoot toad)
Lineage: Eukaryota; Metazoa; Chordata; Amphibia; Anura; Pelobatidae
Source: the annotation of a GenBank genome assembly
GGGAGGGGGUGACUAGUGACAGAGUGAGAGAGGGGGUGACUAGUGACAGAGUGAGGGAGGGGGUGACUAGUGACAGAGAGAGGGAGGGGAGGGGGUGACUAGUGACAGUCACCACCUCCUUCACUCUGUCACUAGUCACCCCUUCCUUCCCUCACUCUGCCACUAGUCACCCCUUCCCUCACUCUGCCACUAGUCACCCCUUCCCUCACUCUGUCACUAGUCACCCCCUCCC